GCUGGGCAUGGUGGCUCAUGCCUGUAAUCCCAGCACUUUGGGAGGCUGAGGUGGGUGGAUCACUUGAGGCCAGGAGUUCAAGACCAGCCUGGCCAACAUGGUGAGAACCUGUCUCUA
Pongo abelii (Sumatran orangutan) is the source of this 117-nucleotide unclassified non-coding RNA. It matches the Rfam family "Metazoan signal recognition particle RNA". Rfam says of the family: The signal recognition particle (SRP) is a universally conserved ribonucleoprotein. It is involved in the co-translational targeting of proteins to membranes. Lineage: Eukaryota; Metazoa; Chordata; Mammalia; Primates; Hominidae. The record is from Ensembl.